AGACUUAUGUGGCAAGGGAGACACCAUGAUCAGGAAGGUGGUUUUCCCCAGGGCAUGGCUUACCCAUGAGCGUAUGAGCAGACCCUGUGAUUUCCCUAAAUGUGGAAAACUUGACUGCAUUUAAUUGUGGUAAUGAGGGAACUGGGUUCGUGCUCUCCCCUG
Molecule: small nuclear RNA, 162 nt
Filed under: Carlito syrichta (Philippine tarsier)
Lineage: Eukaryota; Metazoa; Chordata; Mammalia; Primates; Tarsiidae
Description: U1 spliceosomal RNA (ENSTSYG00000036052.1)
Rfam family: U1 spliceosomal RNA
About the family: U1 is a small nuclear RNA (snRNA) component of the spliceosome (involved in pre-mRNA splicing). Its 5' end forms complementary base pairs with the 5' splice junction, thus defining the 5' donor site of an intron.
Source: Rfam by way of RNAcentral